This 89-nucleotide transfer RNA is filed under the name Oscillospiraceae bacterium. RNAcentral describes it as "tRNA-Leu". It matches the Rfam family "tRNA". Rfam says of the family: Transfer RNA (tRNA) molecules are approximately 80 nucleotides in length. Their secondary structure includes four short double-helical elements and three loops (D, anti-codon, and T loops). Lineage: Bacteria; Bacillati; Bacillota; Clostridia; Eubacteriales; Oscillospiraceae. The record is from RNAcentral.
GCCGAUGUGGCGGAAUAGGCAGACGCCCGGGACUUAAAAUCCCGUGUGAGGUAACUCACGUACCGGUUCGACCCCGGUCAUCGGCACCA